GAUGAAGAACGCAGCGAAAUGCGAUACGUAGUGUGAAUUGCAGAAUUCAGUGAAUCAUCGAAUCUUUGAACGCACAUUGCGCCCUUUGGUAUUCCAAAGGGCAUGCCUGUUCGAGCGUCAUUUGUACCCUCAAGCUUUGCUUGGUGUUGGGCGUCUUGUCUCCAGUCCGCUGGAGACUCGCCUUAAAGUCAUUGGCAGCCGGCCUACUGGUUUCGGAGCGCAGCACAAGUCGCACUCUUUUCCAGCCAAGGUCAGUGUCCAACAAGCCUUUUUUCAACUUUUGACCUCGGAUCAGGUAGGGAUACCCGCUGAACUUAAGCAUAUCAUAAGCGGAGGA
This 337-nucleotide unclassified non-coding RNA is filed under the name soil metagenome. RNAcentral's name for it is "partial contains 5.8S ribosomal RNA, internal transcribed spacer 2, and large subunit ribosomal RNA". The stretch from base 1 to 120 matches the Rfam family "5.8S ribosomal RNA", at positions 35 to 154 of the family's 154-position model. The record is from RNAcentral.